Molecule: ribosomal RNA, 468 nt
Filed under: uncultured bacterium
Lineage: Bacteria
Description: partial 16S ribosomal RNA
Rfam family: Bacterial small subunit ribosomal RNA
Source: RNAcentral
GACGAACGCUGGCGGCGUGCUUAACACAUGCAAGUCGAACGGAAAGGCCCUGCUUUUGUGGGGUGCUCGAGUGGCGAACGGGUGAGUAACACGUGAGUAACCUGCCCUUGACUUUGGGAUAACUUCAGGAAACUGGGGCUAAUACCGGAUAGGAGCACCUGCUGCAUGGUGGGGGUUGGAAAGUUUCGGCGGUUGGGGAUGGACUCGCGGCUUAUCAGCUUGUUGGUGGGGUAGUGGCGUACCAAGGCUUUGACGGGUAGCCGGCCUGAGAGGGUGACCGGCCACAUUGGGACUGAGAUACGGCCCAGACUCCUACGGGAGGCAGCAGUGGGGAAUAUUGCACAAUGGGGGGAAGCCUGAUGCAGCGACGCCGCGUGCGGGAUGACGGCCUUCGGGUUGUAAACCGCUUUCUCCUGUGACGAAGCGUGAGUGACGGUAAUGGGUAAAGAAGCACCGGCUAACUACGUG